This 2374-nucleotide ribosomal RNA is filed under the name Escherichia coli. Its description in RNAcentral is "partial 23S ribosomal RNA". It matches the Rfam family "Bacterial large subunit ribosomal RNA", at positions 498 to 2852 of the family's 2925-position model. Lineage: Bacteria; Pseudomonadati; Pseudomonadota; Gammaproteobacteria; Enterobacterales; Enterobacteriaceae. The record is from RNAcentral.
GUACCGUGAGGGAAAGGCGAAAAGAACCCCGGCGAGGGGAGUGAAAAAGAACCUGAAACCGUGUACGUACAAGCAGUGGGAGCCUCUUUAUGGGGUGACUGCGUACCUUUUGUAUAAUGGGUCAGCGACUUAUAUUCUGUAGCAAGGUUAACCGAAUAGGGGAGCCGAAGGGAAACCGAGUCUUAACUGGGCGUUAAGUUGCAGGGUAUAGACCCGAAACCCGGUGAUCUAGCCAUGGGCAGGUUGAAGGUUGGGUAACACUAACUGGAGGACCGAACCGACUAAUGUUGAAAAAUUAGCGGAUGACUUGUGGCUGGGGGUGAAAGGCCAAUCAAACCGGGAGAUAGCUGGUUCUCCCCGAAAGCUAUUUAGGUAGCGCCUCGUGAAUUCAUCUCCGGGGGUAGAGCACUGUUUCGGCAAGGGGGUCAUCCCGACUUACCAACCCGAUGCAAACUGCGAAUACCGGAGAAUGUUAUCACGGGAGACACACGGCGGGUGCUAACGUCCGUCGUGAAGAGGGAAACAACCCAGACCGCCAGCUAAGGUCCCAAAGUCAUGGUUAAGUGGGAAACGAUGUGGGAAGGCCCAGACAGCCAGGAUGUUGGCUUAGAAGCAGCCAUCAUUUAAAGAAAGCGUAAUAGCUCACUGGUCGAGUCGGCCUGCGCGGAAGAUGUAACGGGGCUAAACCAUGCACCGAAGCUGCGGCAGCGACACUAUGUGUUGUUGGGUAGGGGAGCGUUCUGUAAGCCUGUGAAGGUGGCCUGUGAGGGUUGCUGGAGGUAUCAGAAGUGCGAAUGCUGACAUAAGUAACGAUAAAGCGGGUGAAAAGCCCGCUCGCCGGAAGACCAAGGGUUCCUGUCCAACGUUAAUCGGGGCAGGGUGAGUCGACCCCUAAGGCGAGGCCGAAAGGCGUAGUCGAUGGGAAACAGGUUAAUAUUCCUGUACUUGGUGUUACUGCGAAGGGGGGACGGAGAAGGCUAUGUUGGCCGGGCGACGGUUGUCCCGGUUUAAGCGUGUAGGCUGGUUUUCCAGGCAAAUCCGGAAAACCAAGGCUGAGGCGUGAUGACGAGGCACUACGGUGCUGAAGCGACAAAUGCCCUGCUUCCAGGAAAAGCCUCUAAGCAUCAGGUAACAUCAAAUCGUACCCCAAACCGACACAGGUGGUCAGGUAGAGAAUACCAAGGCGCUUGAGAGAACUCGGGUGAAGGAACUAGGCAAAAUGGUGCCGUAACUUCGGGAGAAGGCACGCUGAUAUGUAGGUGAAGCGACUUGCUCGUGGAGCUGAAAUCAGUCGAAGAUACCAGCUGGCUGCAACUGUUUAUUAAAAACACAGCACUGUGCAAACACGAAAGUGGACGUAUACGGUGUGACGCCUGCCCGGUGCCGGAAGGUUAAUUGAUGGGGUUAGCGGUAACGCGAAGCUCUUGAUCGAAGCCCCGGUAAACGGCGGCCGUAACUAUAACGGUCCUAAGGUAGCGAAAUUCCUUGUCGGGUAAGUUCCGACCUGCACGAAUGGCGUAAUGAUGGCCAGGCUGUCUCCACCCGAGACUCAGUGAAAUUGAACUCGCUGUGAAGAUGCAGUGUACCCGCGGCAAGACGGAAAGACCCCGUGAACCUUUACUAUAGCUUGACACUGAACAUUGAGCCUUGAUGUGUAGGAUAGGUGGGAGGCUUUGAAGUGUGGACGCCAGUCUGCAUGGAGCCGACCUUGAAAUACCACCCUUUAAUGUUUGAUGUUCUAACGUUGGCCCGUAAUCCGGGUUGCGGACAGUGUCUGGUGGGUAGUUUGACUGGGGCGGUCUCCUCCUAAAGAGUAACGGAGGAGCACGAAGGUUGGCUAAUCCUGGUCGGACAUCAGGAGGUUAGUGCAAUGGCAUAAGCCAGCUUGACUGCGAGCGUGACGGCGCGAGCAGGUGCGAAAGCAGGUCAUAGUGAUCCGGUGGUUCUGAAUGGAAGGGCCAUCGCUCAACGGAUAAAAGGUACUCCGGGGAUAACAGGCUGAUACCGCCCAAGAGUUCAUAUCGACGGCGGUGUUUGGCACCUCGAUGUCGGCUCAUCACAUCCUGGGGCUGAAGUAGGUCCCAAGGGUAUGGCUGUUCGCCAUUUAAAGUGGUACGCGAGCUGGGUUUAGAACGUCGUGAGACAGUUCGGUCCCUAUCUGCCGUGGGCGCUGGAGAACUGAGGGGGGCUGCUCCUAGUACGAGAGGACCGGAGUGGACGCAUCACUGGUGUUCGGGUUGUCAUGCCAAUGGCACUGCCCGGUAGCUAAAUGCGGAAGAGAUAAGUGCUGAAAGCAUCUAAGCACGAAACUUGCCCCGAGAUGAGUUCUCCCUGAGACUUAGAGUCUCCUGAAGGAACGUUGAAGACGACGACG